UGCACAAAGCACGUGAUGACAAAUCGCAGAAACUGAUUGUAUGAAGUACAUUCAAUCCAACACUGAGCUUUGUGUC
Molecule: small nucleolar RNA, 76 nt
Filed under: Cyanoderma ruficeps (rufous-capped babbler)
Lineage: Eukaryota; Metazoa; Chordata; Aves; Passeriformes; Timaliidae
Description: Small nucleolar RNA SNORD69 (ENSCRFG00000005758.1)
Rfam family: Small nucleolar RNA SNORD69
About the family: snoRNA HBII-210 belongs to the C/D family of snoRNAs. It is the human orthologue of the mouse MBII-210 and is predicted to guide the 2'O-ribose methylation of large 28S rRNA on residue G4464.
Source: Rfam by way of RNAcentral